GGCCUCGUAGCCCAGCUGGUAGAGCAUGCGCGUACAAAGCGUAGGCGGUGUCCAUGCGUGGGUUCGAAUCCCACCGAGGUCA
This 82-nucleotide transfer RNA is filed under the name Echinostoma caproni. It matches the Rfam family "tRNA". From Rfam's summary of the family: Transfer RNA (tRNA) molecules are approximately 80 nucleotides in length. Their secondary structure includes four short double-helical elements and three loops (D, anti-codon, and T loops). The record is from Rfam by way of RNAcentral. Lineage: Eukaryota; Metazoa; Platyhelminthes; Trematoda; Plagiorchiida; Echinostomatidae.